Molecule: ribosomal RNA, 293 nt
Filed under: uncultured bacterium
Lineage: Bacteria
Description: partial 16S ribosomal RNA
Rfam family: Archaeal small subunit ribosomal RNA
Source: RNAcentral
GUGUCAGCAGCCGCGGUAACACCAGCGCCACGAGUGGCCAUCACGAUUAUUGGGCCUAAAGCGUUCGUAGUCGGUUUAGUGCAUCCUCUGUGAAAUCGCAGCGCUUAACGUUGCGGCAUGCGGAGGACACGACUGAACUUGAGACCGGGAGGCGUCGAGGGUAUUCCAAGGGGACCGGUAAAAUGGUAUAAUCCUUGGAGGACCACCUGUGGCGAAGGCGCUCGACGAGAACGGAUCUGACGAUGAGGAACGAAAGCCAGGGGAGCAAACCGGAUUAGAAACCCCCGUAGUCC